UACGAAGGGGGCUAGCGUUACUCGGAUUGACUGGGCGUAAAGGGCGCGUAGGCGGUUCGUACAGUCAGACGUGAAAUUCCUGGGCUCAACCUGGGGGCUGCGCUUGAUACAUGUGCGCUUGAGUUCGGAAGAGGGUCGUGGAAUUCCCAGUGUAGAGGUGAAAUUCGUAGAUAUUGGGAAGAACACCGGUGGCGAAGGCGGCGACCUGGUCCGAUACUGACGCUGAGGCGCGAAAGCGUGGGGAGCAAACAGG
Molecule: ribosomal RNA, 253 nt
Filed under: uncultured bacterium
Lineage: Bacteria
Description: partial 16S ribosomal RNA
Rfam family: Bacterial small subunit ribosomal RNA
Source: RNAcentral